RNAcentral lists this ribosomal RNA (733 nucleotides) under uncultured euryarchaeote. Its description in RNAcentral is "bacterial SSU rRNA". It matches the Rfam family "Archaeal small subunit ribosomal RNA", at positions 85 to 822 of the family's 1478-position model. Lineage: Archaea; Methanobacteriati; Methanobacteriota. The record is from RNAcentral.
ACGGCUCAGUAACACGUCGGUAACCUGCCCUAAGGUCAGUGAUAGCCUCGCGUAAGUGAGGGUAAUAACUGAUAGAGAAGUUCGUCUGGAAAGAUUUCUUCUCAUAAACUCGUGCCUUAGGAUGGGCCGGCGGCGGAUUAGGCUGUUGGCGGUGUAACGGACCACCAAACCGAAGAUCUGUACGGGCCAUGAGAGUGGGAGCCCGGAGAGGGACACUGAGAUACUGGUCCCAGCCCUACGGGGUGCAGCAGGCGCGAAACCUUUUCAAUGCGCGAAAGCGUGAGAAGGGAAUUCCAAGUGCUUAAGUUUUACUUAGGCUUUUGCCAAGUGUAAAAAGCUUGGCGAAUAAGGGGUGGGUAAGACUGGUGCCAGCCGCCGCGGUAACACCAGCGCCUCGAGUGGGGAUCGCGAUUAUUGGGUCUAAAGCGUCCGUAGCAGGCUCGGUAAAUGCUUUGUGAAAUCGGCAGGCUUAACCUGCCGGCGCGCAGAGUAGACUGCAGAGCUCGAGACCGGAAGAGGUUAGAAGUAUUCCCUGGGUACCGGUAAAAUGGGUUAAUCCAAGGAGGACUACCUAUGGCGAAGGCAUCUAACCAGGACGGAUCUGACUGUGAGGGACGAAAGCUAGGGGAGCAAAACGGAUUAGAUACCCGAGUAGUCCUAGCCGUAAACGCUGCGAGCAAGGUAUUGCGCCUCCCACGAGGAUGCGCAGUGUCGAAGAGAAGUCGUUAAGCUC